GUACACGCUGUGACUAGCAUAUCAAUAAGCGGAGGAAAAGAAACUAACUAGGAUUCCCUCAGUAACGGCGAGUGAAGCGGGAAGAGCUCAAAUUUGAAAUCUUCAAGGUUCUACCUUGACGAAUUGUAGUUUAAAGAAGUGUUUUCUGUUGGAGUUUUGGUAAAAGUUCUUUGGAAUAGGACAUCAUAGAGGGUGAGAAUCCCGUAUUUGACCAUUAUUUCCAGCUUUGUGAUACACUUUCAAAGAGUCGGAUUGUUUGGGAAUGCAGUCCAAAAUGGGUGGUAAAUUUCAUCUAAAGCUAAAUAUUGGCGAGAGACCGAUAGCGAACAAGUACCGUGAGGGAAAGAUGAAAAGAACUUUGAAAAGAGAGUUAAACAGUACGUGAAAUUGUCAAAAGGGAAGCGUUUGACACCAGUGUUGUUUUCUCGAAAAUCAAUUAAAAAAGGCAGGAUUUUGUGUUGUAUUGACUUUAUCAGCUUUCUGCACUCUUUUCUUGUCUUUUUUAAUGCACUUUUCGUUUAACAAGUCAACAUCAAUUUCUUUUGUUGUAAAAGGGUCAUUGGAAGGUGGCUUUCUUUUCGGAGAAAGUGUUUAUAGCCUUUGCUCUCUGCAAUCGGAGAGAUUGAGGUCUGCAGCGUAGAUCCUUCGGGGUUAGAUACAUUUGUGCUAAGUUAUAGCCUUUCAUAGACAACUUGUUGACUAUGAUCAGUCAUGUAGCUUACUCGCUUAUGCUAUUUUACCUACGCUUAGGAUGUUGAAGACUCUACAGAGAUA
This 774-nucleotide ribosomal RNA is filed under the name uncultured Neocallimastigales. Its description in RNAcentral is "partial large subunit ribosomal RNA". It matches the Rfam family "Eukaryotic large subunit ribosomal RNA", at positions 22 to 631 of the family's 3401-position model. Lineage: Eukaryota; Fungi; Neocallimastigomycota; Neocallimastigomycetes; Neocallimastigales. The record is from RNAcentral.